CCUGGCACAGAGAGGGCAAAGCUUCACCUAAAACCCAACAAAAAUGCAAUAUUCCAACCCUCAUAACAGCCCAAUGUACAUUCACUUUCCACAUCAACAAAUUGAAAAGGGUUGAAAGCCCAUAACUGCCAGAGAUAUUCAUAGUGCUUGUUCUAGCUGAAAGCCCACAACAUAAUCCAAAGCCAAAAGAAGGUGGAACCGGAUAAAAGACGGGACCGCUUAGGACAUUGAUUUCCUCUUUAGUACUCCCUCAGAAUUUUAAUCCACCUAUUCCAAAGAUUUACUGUGUAGAAUCCAGAGAUAGAAUUCAUAGAGUUAUGGAGGCCCCCCAAAAAAAGAAAUGCAAACCAUAACUUCACUAAUCUCCAAAAUUCUCACUUCUUUAUCUACCAAGAUAACAUUGUAUUUCUCCUAAUCUGGUCCAGAAAAGAGAGAUUCAUACUAUAGGAACCUUCAAUUCUAACUUUUAUUAUCCUCGUAUCUGUCACUUUAUCGAUUCAUAAAGAGAGUGCAUGCACGAUGAUAUUGACAUGAGAUUCACUUGACUUUGUAUACCAACCAUGAUACAUUUCAACCAAUGAGAACAGUUUCCAUAAAACUAAGCAGCCAAUCAAAGGAAAGUAGAAUUUUCAUAAACAGAACGAGAAUCUCCAACUACAUUUAUACUUAAAGUGCUUUCAACCUCCAAAUAGCUUAGCAAGGAAAAGAAAACCUUUCCUUAUUCAUCGCUGUUCUACAAAAGUUUGUAGUAGCAAAUUUAUCCUUAAGUCACAUUUCUCUGAUAACUCCUACCUAAUCUCAUCCUCAAACCCAAAUGUCGUUUAAAACCAUAUAGGAAAUGCUUAAUUUCUCCUCUAGUUACAGAAUUUAUCACCAAAUUUCAGCACAAUCACUAAAAUUCAAUUUGUACCAAUAAAAUCUCUAGACUUUGA
This 932-nucleotide unclassified non-coding RNA is filed under the name Hevea brasiliensis (rubber tree). Lineage: Eukaryota; Viridiplantae; Streptophyta; Magnoliopsida; Malpighiales; Euphorbiaceae. The record is from RNAcentral.